This 468-nucleotide ribosomal RNA is filed under the name uncultured bacterium. RNAcentral's name for it is "partial 16S ribosomal RNA". It matches the Rfam family "Bacterial small subunit ribosomal RNA", at positions 28 to 507 of the family's 1533-position model. The record is from RNAcentral.
GACGAACGCUGGCGGCGUGCUUAACACAUGCAAGUCGAACGGAAAGGCCCUGCUUUUGUGGGGUGCUCGAGUGGCGAACGGGUGAGUAACACGUGAGUAACCUGCCCUUGACUUUGGGAUAACUUCAGGAAACUGGGGCUAAUACCGGAUAGGAGCUCCAGCUGCAUGGUGGGGGUUGGAAAGUUUCGGCGGUUGGGGAUGGACUCGCGGCUUAUCAGCUUGUUGGUGGGGUAGUGGCUUACCAAGGCUUUGACGGGUAGCCGGCCUGAGAGGGUGACCGGCCACAUUGGGACUGAGAUACGGCCCAGACUCCUACGGGAGGCAGCAGUGGGGAAUAUUGCACAAUGGGCGGAAGCCUGAUGCAGCAACGCCGCGUGCGGGAUGACGGCCUUCGGGUUGUAAACCGCUUUCGCCUGUGACGAAGCGUGAGUGACGGUAAUGGGUAAAGAAGCACCGGCUAACUACGUA